CACCUUAUCAUAAUUCUUGGGUUGAGAAGAUACCAAGUGACAAGAAUGAUGAGAAGAAAGAGAGAGAGAAAGAGAGAGACAGAGAGUGAGAAGCCUCAGCAUGUUUAUAUAUAUGAGCAUGCUACUCUUGGAGUAAAGAAUGUAAAGGAAACUAAGAAAAGAAAAUCUACGAAGGAGUGAGUGAACAAGAGGAGCAGGUUAAGAAGGUUUCAUAUUUUCCUACUAUUUCACUAUUUUAUUUCAAUCAUACAACUAAGAACUGAAGAAACCGAAGGAAACACUGAGGCCUUGUAAGGCGACACCCAGCCUUGGUUAGCUUGAAGAGUGCCCAAGAUCCAUGAACCAUUUUUCUAAGUUUCUAGUGGUUUUUUUUUUUUUUUUUAAUGUUAUAUUCGUGUUGUUUUUAUGUACUAAGACUAAAUUUUAAAUUUUUAUUGGAGUUGUAAUUUAAGAACUUUUAAUUUCUCGGUUGUUAAUUAAUGCUAGUAAUAUUGGAGACAUCAUUGAUGA
This is a non-coding RNA of Camellia sinensis, 510 nucleotides long. The record is from RefSeq and is a predicted model, not a curated record. NCBI's taxonomy places the organism in Eukaryota, Viridiplantae, Streptophyta, Magnoliopsida, Ericales, Theaceae.